Hibiscus syriacus is the source of this 178-nucleotide long non-coding RNA. RefSeq lists it as uncharacterized. The transcript has 3 exons. NCBI's taxonomy places the organism in Eukaryota, Viridiplantae, Streptophyta, Magnoliopsida, Malvales, Malvaceae. The record is from RefSeq and is a predicted model, not a curated record.
AUAGCUCAUAGACAAUUUAGUUGGUAAGAGAUUCAUCAAUAAACAAAGAAAGAGUUGCAAAAUCAACUAUAGAUGUUAUCAACAUUAUUGGCAACAAAUAGGGCAUUUGGUCUAGUGGCAUGAUUCUCGCUUUGGGUGCAAGAGGUCCCAAGUUUGAUUCUCGGAAUGCCCCUCUAUC